GUGGGGAAUAUUGGGCAAUGGGCGCAAGCCUGACCCAGCAACGCCGCGUGAGGGAAGAAGGUCUUCGGAUUGUAAACCUCUGUCCUUGGGGACGAAAAAAAUGACGGUACCCAAGGAGGAAGCUCCGGCUAACUACGUGCCAGCAGCCGCGGUAAUACGUAGGGAGCGAGCGUUGUCCGGAAUUACUGGGCGUAAAGGGUGCGUAGGCGGCUUGGCAAGUCAGAUGUGAAAUCCCCGGGCUUAACUCGGGAGUUGCAUUUGAAACUGCUAGGCUUGAGUGCAGGAGAGGAAAGCGGAAUUCCUAGUGUAGCGGUGAAAUGCGUAGAUAUUAGGAGGAACACCAGUGGCGAAGGCGGCUUUCUGGACUGUAACUGACGCUGAGGCACGAAAGCGUGGGGAGCAAACAGGAUUAGAAACCCGAGUAGUCC
This 428-nucleotide ribosomal RNA is filed under the name uncultured bacterium. RNAcentral describes it as "partial 16S ribosomal RNA". It matches the Rfam family "Bacterial small subunit ribosomal RNA", at positions 354 to 796 of the family's 1533-position model. The record is from RNAcentral.